CCUACGGGUGGCAGCAGUCGAGAAUCAUUCACAAUGGGGGAAACCCUGAUGGUGCGACGCCGCGUGGGGGAAUGAAGGUCUUCGGAUUGUAAACCCCUGUCAUGUGGGAGCAAAUUAAAAAGAUAGUACCACAAGAGGAAGAGCCGGCGAACUCUGUGCCAGCAGCCGCGGUAAUACAGAGGUCUCAAGCGUUGUGCGGAAUCACUGGGCGUAAAGGGUGCGUAGGCUGUUUCGUAAGUCGUGUGUGAAAGGCGCGGGCUCAACCCGCGGACGGCACCUGAUAAUGGGAGACUAGAGUAAUGGAGGGGGAAGCGGAAUUCUCGGUGUAGCAGUGAAAUGCGUAGAUAUCGAGAGGAACACUCGUGGCGAAGGCGGGUUCCUGGACAUUAACUGACGCUGAGGCACGAAGGCCAGGGGAGCGAAAGGGAUUAGAUACCCCUGUAGUC
This 446-nucleotide ribosomal RNA is filed under the name uncultured bacterium. RNAcentral's name for it is "partial 16S ribosomal RNA". It matches the Rfam family "Bacterial small subunit ribosomal RNA", at positions 338 to 795 of the family's 1533-position model. The record is from RNAcentral.